AGAGUUUGAUCCUGGCUCAGGAUGAACGCUAGCGGCAGGCUUAACACAUGCAAGUCGAGGGGUAGAGGAAGCUUGCUUCCUUGAGACCGGCGCACGGGUGCGUAACGCGUAUGCAAUCUACCUUAUACAGGGGGAUAGCCCAGAGAAAUUUGGAUUAAUACCCCAUAGUAUAAUUGAAUGGCAUCAUUUAAUUAUUAAAGUUCCAACGGUAUAAGAUGAGCAUGCGUCCCAUUAGCUAGUUGGUGUGGUAACGGCACACCAAGGCGACGAUGGUAGGGGUCCUGAGAGGAGAUCCCCCACACUGGUACUGAGACACGGACCAGACUCCUACGGGAGGCAGCAGUGAGGAAUAUUGGUCAAUGGGCGCAAGCCUGAACCAGCCAUGCCGCGUGCAGGAUGACGGUCCUAUGGAUUGUAAACUGCUUUUGUACAGGAAGAAACACUCCCUCGUGAGGGAGCUUGACGGUACUGUAAGAAUAAGGAUCGGCUAACUCCGUG
This 498-nucleotide ribosomal RNA is filed under the name uncultured bacterium. Its description in RNAcentral is "bacterial SSU rRNA". It matches the Rfam family "Bacterial small subunit ribosomal RNA", at positions 8 to 507 of the family's 1533-position model. The record is from RNAcentral.